This 146-nucleotide small nucleolar RNA is filed under the name Drosophila mojavensis. RNAcentral describes it as "snoRNA:GI25360". The record is from RNAcentral. Lineage: Eukaryota; Metazoa; Arthropoda; Insecta; Diptera; Drosophilidae.
AUUUUAUUAAUUCACAACAAUAACUAUAAAUGUCAAUCAAAAAUUAUAGAAUCAAUAAAUAUUUUUUAUACAUUAUUAUAUUUUUUAUUUAAUUUUUUUAUUUUUUUUUAUAUUGUCAACCAAAAAUUUUUAAAUUGAAUAUUAAU